UACGGGGGGGGCAAGGGUUGUUCGGAAUUACUGGGCGUAAAGGGCGCGUAGGCGGCCUGCUAAGUCGGACGUGAAAUCCCUCGGCUCAACCGGGGAACUGCGUCCGAUACUGGUGGGCUUGAAUCCGGGAGAGGGAUGUGGAAUUCCAGGUGUAGCGGUGAAAUGCGUAGAUAUCUGGAGGAACACCGGUGGCGAAGGCGGCAUCCUGGACCGGUAUUGACGCUGAUGCGCGAAAGCCAGGGGAGCAAACGGG
Molecule: ribosomal RNA, 253 nt
Filed under: uncultured bacterium
Lineage: Bacteria
Description: partial 16S ribosomal RNA
Rfam family: Bacterial small subunit ribosomal RNA
Source: RNAcentral